CAGAAGGAUGUUAUGUUAGCUAGCUGGCUAUGACUUUCCAACACUGGAACUCUUCCAAGUCAAGGGUCUUCUGACUGGGGAUCUUCUUUCCUCUCAUCUGAGAACACACCCACAACACCUGCAUCGCCAACCAGUAGCCUGAGGAGAGGGAAAUGACAUCACAAUAGUCCACAUCACCAAUAAGACGGCUAAUAAUUAAUAUCCCAGUCAGUCAUGAGUGACAGGGUGAGAAGAAAAAAAAAAAAAAAAAAACCACACCCUUUUGUAGUUUCCAGUGAGAGGAGCAGCAACACACACACACACAAAAAACCCUUCCCGUACCGAGUGACAGUGUGAGCAGCAGCAUGCUGAGACUGGGCAGGUCCAGGGCAGGCUGUUGGUUGACCUCAGCCACAGCGUUGAGCGGGACCGUGAAGAGCAGCAUGGCUCGGGAGAAGGACGGACAGCGCAGGAACGUCAGUACCACCGCACACAGCAGGAAGUACCCAGCAUGCACCACACACGUCCACACCGCAGCCAGACUUAGACCUGCUGGACAGAAACAUGGAGGGAAAUUUCCUGAAAAAUGUGUGUAGCUGAUGAAGGAACUAAGAUUAAAAUGUUAAUUCUCACUGCAAAAGAUGAUCUGUUGACCUUUGCAAUAAAAAUGCAUCUGGUGGUCUAAA
Molecule: long non-coding RNA, 665 nt
Organism: Oncorhynchus gorbuscha (pink salmon)
Lineage: Eukaryota; Metazoa; Chordata; Actinopteri; Salmoniformes; Salmonidae
Exons: 2
Source: RefSeq, a predicted model, not a curated record